This 2124-nucleotide ribosomal RNA is filed under the name Triticum aestivum (bread wheat). Its description in RNAcentral is "partial small subunit ribosomal RNA". Lineage: Eukaryota; Viridiplantae; Streptophyta; Magnoliopsida; Poales; Poaceae. The record is from RNAcentral.
CUGUUUAGGAGUUUGUCUUGUGUGGGUUUCACGAGACGGGGGAGGGCGUAUCAGCGUCGUCAGGGUUUAUGCACGAUGGAUCCAGCAUGCGGGGUUCUCCGUUCUUGGGAUCUAGGGCUUAGGUCGUGGCGUGCGCAAACUGGGACGCGUACGUCGGCAUUUUGAGACUAAAGAGAGAAACGUCGGAGGAGCGAGGAGCUUUAUGGUGCCAGAGGAGAGGAGGAACAGACUCUAGGACUCGGCGCUACCCUCUUCGGUUCCUGCGGCUCCACAUGCUCCUCCUAGAGCAGCUGAUGCUGCUCCUCCACCUCUUGCGGCAGCUGCCGCGUCGGCGGUUGGGAAGGCAGCUGCAGCAGUUCUUCCCAAUGCACCCUUAGGUGUCGAGUCCCAAGUCCCUGAAGGACGAGUUCGGUCUCGACGAGGCACGCUAGGUCCUGACGCCCAAACUCGUAGGAAGGCUUCACGUUGUACUUACGUAGGGAGUUCGGUAAGAGCCUUACCUACAGUAGACAGUUCGUUUUAGACCCUACCCGUUCUGACGACAAAAACAGGAGAGUUGAGAGGUCGUCUAACUAGGCCAACGACCCGUUCAUCGACGUGAACACAAUACGGUAUGUGCUCUCAAUCGUAUGGUCUAAACGUUACUUAAGCUCUCCAAAUCGUUCAUGGACAGUCUUUGUUUUCAACGACAGAAGAUACCACCGCAAGUGUAUUUUUUUGUGUUCCUAAACAACUUCUUACUUACAGGAGUGUAACACCAACCGUGUGGACCUUCCUAGGAUCGAGACCGAUCUCUGUUCCUGGAAAGUAACUUCUUACACUCCGUAAAGUAAGAACUACUUACACUGUUCUACGAACUAAGUGAACUGUACGCAUCUCUACAGGUCCUCUAGAAGUUCUACUGUGGGGUACUCUUUGUUCACUACUACAAAAGUCGUUGUGAGUCGUUCCUCUAAGCGGGCCAAACGUUCUUUAAAUACGUUCUAGGGUACCUUUAAAUACAACUACUACUCCGAUUUGACUGGGAAGUACCAGAUCAAGUCGUGAUAUAAUUUGAUUCACUCCGCCUCUUCUUAGCCUUUAACUUACUAGAGAAUCUACGCGAGCUGAAGUUGGUUUAACACUAUAAACAAUUUUCACAACCAUCUCGAAGUCUUGAAUUGUCCGACGAGACACUUACGUUAAAAGGACGCUAGACGUAUGUAAGCCCUUACUGUGUCCUCCUCUCCAACUGGGCCAUAUUCUUGAAGUUCCUUCCCGUGUUCUCCUAGGAACACCGAUGCCUAAACCAACCGUCCCCCUAACUAUAACUCGCACAGUUAUAACAGUAUUUGAUACUGUACGGACUAAGACGACUAUGUAUGAACGUGUCCCAACCUUCCCGACCCGCAAAACCUUGGUUUCCCGAACGUUAUUGUAAACAACGAAGACGGAGACUGAGACUGCAGGAGUUAGUCCACGUUCUUUCCAAACUCCAGCUGUAGUUCCUCGACGGACUCGUCUAGCUGUGAAGUUGUAUGUACGGUAGAACUUCUAGGUUCACCACCGAUCCUCCCAAACGAAAAGUCUGUGUCGUGGAAAUGUAAAGAUAACCCAAUGUAUUUGAAACUACAAUCUCUACGAGAUCAACAUGAAUUAGUCGCUAACUUAGACGACUCAUAAAACAACAUCAUGAGUCUGAAUACCAACAAUUCCUUGGAUAAGUUCUACAACCACAAGUAGUACAAACACUCGUAUAAUAAUCCUGUAAGAAUACAAUCAAAACCUUCCCCCCGGAGCCGCGUCGACAUUUCAACAACGGAACACUGGUACUCAGUGCCGAAACCCAGGACCUUUGUCGGAACGACUUUACAUCCCUUUCUGACGCAUGUUCUCUGGGUUUAACCAGCCUGCCAAUGGGCCUUGGACACGUUAGUCCUCAAUGCACGUGGCCAAAAGGGGUAAGAAUACAAUAAAAAGAAAAUCGUGAAAGUGAAUGAUUAAAAGAAAAUAUGAUUGUAGACUAACUUAAAGUGAACUUAAACACGAGACCUAGGUUUAAUUAACAGCGUCGAGAUCAUGUUUAAUUAACACCUACAUUACGUUUCGACGAACAUACACUUACGAACUCUCUUACCAAAGUCU